Non-coding RNA from Schistosoma margrebowiei, 45 nucleotides. The record is from Rfam. Lineage: Eukaryota; Metazoa; Platyhelminthes; Trematoda; Strigeidida; Schistosomatidae.
AUCCAGCUGACGAGUCACUAACAGGAUGAAACGCGCGUCCUGGAU